Molecule: ribosomal RNA, 253 nt
Filed under: uncultured bacterium
Lineage: Bacteria
Description: partial 16S ribosomal RNA
Rfam family: Bacterial small subunit ribosomal RNA
Source: RNAcentral
GACGAACCGUGCGAACGUUGUUCGGAAUCACUGGGCUUAAAGGGCGCGUAGGCGGACCGGCGAGUCAGGGGUGAAAGCCCGCGGCCCAACCGCGGAAGUGCCCCUGAUACCGCCGGCCUUGAGGGGGAUAGGGGCGUGCGGAACUUCGGGUGGAGCGGUGAAAUGCGUAGAUAUCCGAAGGAACACCGGUGGCGAAGGCGGCACGCUGGGUCCCUACUGACGCUGAGGCGCGAAAGCGUGGGGAGCGAACAGG